This 2193-nucleotide long non-coding RNA is filed under the name Hordeum vulgare. RNAcentral's name for it is "long non-coding RNA (HVUL_LNC005899)". The record is from RNAcentral. Lineage: Eukaryota; Viridiplantae; Streptophyta; Magnoliopsida; Poales; Poaceae.
UUCCCGAUAAUCAGGCUAAAAAUUGUUACCUUGUAAACUUUUCCAAAGCCACCUUUCCCGAGUAGGUUGCAGUCUGAGAAAUUGUCCGUUGCAGUAACAACAUCUUCAAAACAAAUAUAUGGAAGUUCUAUACUUUCAUUCUCAAGUUCGUCCGAUUUGGAAUAUUUCGACAGUUGACCUGUAUAUUUGUUCUUAUUUUCCUUGAUUCGUCGUUUGCCUGCCAAAAAUAGGUUCAUGUCAAUAUUGUCUCUUACGAAUAACUCAUGAAAAUUGCACCCUGAGAAAGUAAAGCAAAUAUUGUUUUUACCUCUUGACUUGCAUAUCCACACAAGGCUGAUGCAUGUGAGUAUCAGAAUACCAGCAAUUACUGGGAGUACAAUCUUCAGUACAUUACUCUCUUUGUCAACUACAAAAAGGCAGAAAUAUAACCCAGGAGUAGAACGAUGCUUUCAAAAUUUAACAUAGAUUUUUUUUGCAUGUUUUAUGUUUGUCGUGAUUAGUAUGUCAUCCUAACCGCAUCUAGCCAUUUCUGGGAGUACAAUCUUCAAUACAUUACUCUGUUUCUCAACUGCAGAAAGGCAGAAAUAUAGUCCAGCAAGAGAAUGAUGCUUUCAAAAUUUAACAUGCAUUUCUGGCGGUGUUGUGUUUUUCGUGAUUAGUAUGUCAUCCUAAGCCACGUCUAGCAUUCGACAUAAAAGGGGUAGAUCACACCAUACAAUCCAUAAGCGCAUAAGGAAAGGUGUAUACCUGUUGAACUGGCUAGACGAAGGUACAGGUUCUCGCCACUACCAUCACGAAACUUUCCUGUGUCGACANNNNNNNNNNNNNNNNNNNNNNNNNNNNNNNNNNNNNNNNNNNNNNNNNNNNNNNNNNNNNNNNNNNNNNNNNNNNNNNNNNNNNNNNNNNNNNNACACACAACAGACCUAACUGAACACAACGCAGAACUCCAUGAAGUGGACAGUUCUCCACAAUGGACGAGUCCACUAAUUCUCUUGCAUUUCCAUCUUUCCAUAAGCUCCAUGCCUAAACCAAUGAAAUAGUCAGUUUUACUUUGACGCGUCAACGGCGGGCUUACACCGGCCUGAACAUAAUGAAAUAGUCAGUUUAUAAUGAGUGUUUGAGUUGCAAGAAAUUCAGUGCAUAGUAGUGAACUUACAUAAGCUAUAAGGCUGGGAAAAUCCAUGAUGAGUUGGGUUGAACUGAUCUUUAACCCGCUUACAAUCUCCAACAUUAGAACGCCAAAACUAUAUGUGUCAGACUUGACAGAAAAGGAACCUUCCAUUGCAUAUUCCGGAGACAUGUAACCGCUGUUUGAAUCAUUCCAAAAACAUUGAUUAGUUAAGUGGAAGAAAAUUACAAUAUUAAGCCUUAGCUAGUGUAUAUAUUACUUACUAUGUCCCAACAACACGGAUAGUGUUCGCUUGUUGUUCAUUUCCUCCAAAGAUCCUUGCCAUACCAAAAUCUGAUAUUUUAGGGUUCAUUUCCGCAUCUAACAAGACAUUGCUUGCUUUGAGAUCUCUAUGGAUUAUUUUUAACCUUGAAUCUUGGUGGAGAUAAAGAAGCCCUCUAGCUAUCCCUUUAAUUACCUUGAAUCGGGUUGGCCAAUCAAGCACAAAAUUUCGUGUGGUAUCUUGCAAAUUGUUUGGAAAAUUGAAAGCAUUAACAACCAUCACGAAUUCAGUGAUUCUAAGAAUGUUGAUAUGUGACCAUAAGAGCAGAACAUACCAAAAAGGAAGGCAUCUAAGCUUUUGUUAGGUAAGUAUUCAUAUAGCAAUAACUUCUCAUCUUCAUGAGUGCAGUAACCAAGAAGCCUAACUAAGUUUCUAUGCUGCAAUUUGGCAAUCAGAACCACUUCAUUUCUGAACUCAUCAGCCCCUUGCCCAGAACUCUUACUAAGCCUUUUGACAGCAACUUCAUUGCCACCUUCUAACCGUCCCUACAUAAAGACUUCAUUUUCAAUGAAACAACAAAUGGCAACUUUUUCCCGAUAAUCAGGCUAAAAAUUGUUACCUUGUAAACUUUUCCAAAGCCACCUUUCCCGAGUAGGUUGCAGUCUGAGAAAUUGUCCGUUGCAGUAACAACAUCUUCAAAACAAAUAUAUGGAAGUUCUAUACUUUCAUUCUCAAGUUCGUCCGAUUUGGAAUAUUUCGACAGUUGACCUGUAUAUUUGUUCUUAUUUUCCUUGAUUCGUCG